CCUACGGGUGGCAGCAGUGGGGAAUAUUGGGCCAUGGAGGAAACUCUGACCCAGCAACGCCGCGUGAAUGAUGAAGGUCUUCGGAUUGUAAAGUUCUUUUCUACGGGAAGAAGAAAGUGACGGGACUUUAGGCAUAAGCCUCGGCUAACUACGUGCCAGCAGCCACGGUAAUAAGUGGGCGGCGAGCGUUAUCCGGAAGGACUGGUUGUAAGGGGUGCGUAGGUGGGUUGGCAAGUUAGGAGGGUAACUCCAGGGGCCAAACAUGUAACUACUGCUAAAACUGUGGGACUUGAGUGCGGGAGAGGCAAGCGGAAUGCGUGGUGUAGCGGUGGAAUGCGUAGAUAUUAGGAAGAACUCC
RNAcentral lists this ribosomal RNA (358 nucleotides) under uncultured bacterium. Its description in RNAcentral is "partial 16S ribosomal RNA". It matches the Rfam family "Bacterial small subunit ribosomal RNA", at positions 338 to 710 of the family's 1533-position model. The record is from RNAcentral.